This 497-nucleotide ribosomal RNA is filed under the name uncultured bacterium. RNAcentral describes it as "partial 16S ribosomal RNA". It matches the Rfam family "Bacterial small subunit ribosomal RNA", at positions 28 to 507 of the family's 1533-position model. The record is from RNAcentral.
GAUGAACGCUGGCGGCGUGCCUAAUACAUGAAAGUCGAGCGAACAGACGAGGAGCUUGCUCCUCUGACGUUAGCGGCGGACGGGUGAGUAACACGUGGAUAACCUACCUAUAAGACUGGGAUAACUUCGGGAAACCGGAGCUAAUACCGGAUAAUAUAUUGAACCGCAUGGUUCAAUAGUGAAAGACGGUUUUGCUGUCACUUAUAGAUGGAUCCGCGCCGCAUUAGCUAGUUGGUAAGGUAACGGCUUACCAAGGCAACGAUGCGUAGCCGACCUGAGAGGGUGAUCGGCCACACUGGAACUGAGACACGGUCCAGACUCCUACGGGAGGCAGCAGUAGGGAAUCUUCCGCAAUGGGCGAAAGCUUGACGGAGCAACGCCGCGUGAGUGAUGAAGGUCUUCGGAUCGUAAAACUCUGUUAUUAGGGAAGAACAAAUGUGUAAGUAACUAUGCACGUCUUGACGGUACCUAAUCAGAAAGCCACGGCUAACUACGUG